ACCCUCAUGGUGGAAUGGUAGACACGGCUGGCUUAGAACCAGUUGCUUAGGCGUACAAGUUCGAGUCUUGUUGGGGGUA
This 79-nucleotide transfer RNA is filed under the name Crassvirales sp. RNAcentral describes it as "tRNA-Leu". It matches the Rfam family "tRNA". Rfam says of the family: Transfer RNA (tRNA) molecules are approximately 80 nucleotides in length. Lineage: Duplodnaviria; Heunggongvirae; Uroviricota; Caudoviricetes; Crassvirales. The record is from RNAcentral.